AAUAGGAGUACGCAGGCUAAGAACGCCACGUCCUGUGGCAACGCCAGCAUGAGCUACAUCAUGCUGG
This 67-nucleotide small RNA is filed under the name Sporosarcina newyorkensis. RNAcentral's name for it is "Bacillaceae-1 RNA". It matches the Rfam family "Bacillaceae-1 RNA". Lineage: Bacteria; Bacillati; Bacillota; Bacilli; Caryophanales; Caryophanaceae. The record is from RNAcentral.